This 780-nucleotide ribosomal RNA is filed under the name uncultured Vagococcus sp. Its description in RNAcentral is "bacterial SSU rRNA". It matches the Rfam family "Bacterial small subunit ribosomal RNA", at positions 719 to 1502 of the family's 1533-position model. Lineage: Bacteria; Bacillati; Bacillota; Bacilli; Lactobacillales; Enterococcaceae. The record is from RNAcentral.
AAGCGACUCUCUGGUCUGUUACUGACGCUGAGCUCGAAAGCGUGGGGAGCAAACAGGAUUAGAUACCGUGGUAGUCCACGCCGUAAACGAUGAGUGCUAAGUGUUAGGGGGUUCCGCCCUUUAGUGCUGCAGCUAACGCAUUAAGCACUCCGCUGGGGAGUACGACCGCAAGGUUGAAACUCAAAGGAAUUGACGGGGGCCCGCACAAGCGGUGGAGCAUGUGGUUUAAUUCGAAGCAACGCGAAGAACCUUACCAGGUCUUGACAUCCUUUGACAACUCUAGAGAUAGAGCUUUCCCUUCGGGGACAAAGUGACAGGUGGUGCAUGGUUGUCGUCAGCUCGUGUCGUGAGAUGUUGGGUUAAGUCCCGCAACGAGCGCAACCCUUAUUGUUAGUUGCCAUCAUUCAGUUGGGCACUCUAGCGAAACUGCCGGUGACAAACCGGAGGAAGGUGGGGAUGACGUCAAAUCAUCAUGCCCCUUAUGACCUGGGCUACACACGUGCUACAAUGGACAGUACAAUGAGCAGCGACACGGCGACGUGAAGCGAAUCUCAUAAAGCUGUUCUCAGUUCGGAUUGUAGGCUGCAACUCGCCUACAUGAAGCCGGAAUCGCUAGUAAUCGCGGAUCAGCACGCCGCGGUGAAUACGUUCCCGGGCCUUGUACACACCGCCCGUCACACCACGAAAGUUUGUAACGCCCAAAGUCGGUGAGGUAACCUUCGGGAGCCAGCCGCCUAAGGUGGGAUAGAUGAUUGGGGUGAAGUCGUAACAAGGUAACCA